Molecule: long non-coding RNA, 238 nt
Filed under: Solanum tuberosum (potato)
Lineage: Eukaryota; Viridiplantae; Streptophyta; Magnoliopsida; Solanales; Solanaceae
Description: long non-coding RNA (STUB_LNC006254)
Source: RNAcentral
UAGUAUUUUUUACUUCUUCUAAUUUUUGUACUUCCUUUUUAACUUGUUGUUUUAUUUUUUCAAUUUUCGUUUUUCUAUCUAUUUCUUCAUUUUCUUUUGUUAUUCUUAUCAUAACAGUUAAACUAUCUUCUAGUUUUACCAUUUCUUUUUCUAACAUUAAACUUAGAUUGUCACCUAUUUUCUUAUAUCUUCUUCCUAGAUUAGAAAAUAUUAUCUUUAUUUUUAAUCCGUCAUAGNN